UAGGAAAUGCUUUGAAAAAAU
This 21-nucleotide non-coding RNA is filed under the name Caenorhabditis elegans. Lineage: Eukaryota; Metazoa; Nematoda; Chromadorea; Rhabditida; Rhabditidae. The record is from RNAcentral.